This 3034-nucleotide long non-coding RNA is filed under the name Homo sapiens (human). RNAcentral describes it as "HSALNT0126632". The record is from RNAcentral. Lineage: Eukaryota; Metazoa; Chordata; Mammalia; Primates; Hominidae.
GAGAGAUGGGGUGUCGCCAUGUUGGCCAGGCUGGUCUCCAACUCCUGACCUCAGCUGAUCUGCCUGCCUAAACCCAGAGGAUGUUUCAGCUGUCAGCCCUGUCAUCGGGGACCCCUCCUUCUACCAGGAAACCCUGUUCCUUGGCUCCACCCCUACCCUGUGGCCUUUGAGACUCCAGUCCCCUGAUUAACAGGGUCUGAGGCCAUGGCAGGGCGCCUCCUCCCUCCCCAGCUCGCUUUCUGGGCACUCUUGUUCUCCUGAGCCACCUGACUUCAGCUCAGCGCUCGCCUUCGCAGAGGCCUGGGUCAGGUGCCCACACAGCAGGCUGUGCUGCUCUCCCCAAUCCUGUUCCUGCUCAGACCUGGAGCCCCCUGAAGGCAAGGACUGUGUCUUGUCCACCACCAUCCCCAGUGCCUAGCAAUGGGCCUUGGAAUCCCUUGGAUUUUGCACUUAGUUGGUGCUCAAUAAACAUUUGCUAUUUUUUUUCAUUUAUUAUUAUAUUUUUUGAGACGAAGUUUCACUCUUGUUGCCCAGGCUGGAGUGCAGUGGCAUCAUUUUGGCUCACUGCAACCUCUGCCUCCCAGGUUCAAGCAACUCUCCUGCCUCAGCCUCCCCAGUAGCUGGGAUUACAGGCACUGGCCACCAUGCCCGGCUAAUUUUUGCAUUUUUAGUAGAGAUGGGGUUUCACCAUGUUGGCCAGGCUGGUCUCGAACUCCUGACCUCAGGUGAUCCACCUGCCUUGGCCUCUCAAAGUGCUGGGAUUACAGGUGUGAGCCACUGCAUCCAGCCUUUUACUUCUGAGACAAGGUCUUAGUGUUACCCAGGCUGGAGUGCGGCAGCACAAUCAUGGCUCACUGCAGCCUCAAUCUCCCAGGCUCAAGUGAUUCUCCCACUUCAGCCUUGGAAGUAGCUAGGACUAUGCCACUAGGCCAGGUGCACUUUUCAAUUUUUAUUUUUUAGAGAUGUGGGGCUCACUAUGUUGCUCAGGCUGGUCUUGAACUCCUGGCCUUAAGUGAUCCUCCUGCCUAGGCCUCCCAAAGUGCUGGGGUUACAGGCAAGAGCCACCACACCCAGUGGAUUUGUGACAUUCUGUGGAGUAAGAAAACAAGAAACGGCCUCCUGGAACUCGCUCCAGGUUAAUUUCCAAGAGUGUUCUCUCUACUGAAAUAUAUGUUAAUAUAUGGUAAUCGUAGCUAACUUUAGUCAAGUACACCAAAUAGUAAACAGAAAUUAACUUCCAAGAGGGAGAAGGAGAAAACACGUGUCUCCACCAUGAAUGAAAAAGAAUUGGCCUGAGUUCUAUUUCCAAGAGUUAGUAGAACACUCCUCUAACUCAAUUUUAAUUUGUUUUUUACCAAAAUAUAAAUGUUGGAAACAGCGAAAUAAAUUUAAAAUAGUAACAGGGCAGGGCUCGGUGGUGUACACUUAUAAUCCCAGCACUUUGGGAGGCUGAGGUGGGAGGGUUGUUUGAACUUAGGAGGUGGAGACCAGUGCAAGAUGGCAAAACCCUGUCUCCACAAAAAAUACAAAAAUUAGCCAGGCAUGGUGGUACGCACCUGUAGUCCCAGCUACUUGGGAGGAUGAGGUGUAAGAAUGGCUUGAGCCCGAGAGGUGGAGGUUGCAGUGAGCCGAGAUCACGCCACUGCACCCCAGCCUGGGCAAAAGCGCCAGACCUUGUUUCAAAAACAAACAAAAAUUAGGCUGGCAUGGUGGUGAAUGCCUGUAGUCCUAGCUACUUGGGAGGCUGAGAUGGGAGGAAUGCUUGAGCCCAGGAGUUGGAGGCUGCAGUGUGCAAUGAUGGCGCCACUGCACUGCAGCCGGGGGGACACAGCAAGCCCUUGUCUCGAAGUUAACUAAUUAAAGGGGCGGGUUCUGUAGUAGAAUCUCCUGUUUAAACAGUAAAAUACCUGUUUAAAUGUCUAUUUGGGCAUGAAUCGUAAAUGAUGCAGAAUUACAGGGGCAUCACCAGGGAACCUAGAUAUAUUUGUUUUUGAGACAGGGUCUCACUGUGUUACCCAAGCUGGAGUGCAGUGGAGUGAUCACGGCUCACUGCAGCCUUCAACUCCUCGGCUCAAGGGAUCCUCCUACCUCAGCUUCCCAAGUAGCUGGGACUAUAGGUGCGCACCAUCACGCCCAGAUAAUUUUAAAAUUUUUUGUAGAGAUGGGGUCUCACUGUGUUGCCAAGGCUGGUCUCAAACUCCUGGGCUCAAGCGAUCCUCCUGCCUCGGCCUUCCAAAGUGCUGGGAUUACAGGCGUCAGCUCACCACGCCUGGCCAUAAGAAUUCUUGUGUGUGAGUUUGUUUGAGACGAUUCUGUUACCUACACCUCUGUGUUCAGUUCCAGACUCCUUCCCACCCAUGAGCAAUGAGGGACAUUACUUCAUGAUUCUCCCCUAAUGGUGGUUUUUUUUGUCGGGGGGAGGGCAGGGGCUCUCAGUAUCACCCAAUCCUUUCUCAAUGAUGACAUCUGUUUGUUCUUCUUUUCCUAAAUAAGUGAUGCCCUGAAGAAAGAAUCUCUCAACUUAAGGUCCUGAUGACCUAGUACUAAUGGCCAGAAAUGGCUACAGGACAUGUCCUGCCUAAAUAUCAUCUCCUGCACCCCGUGGGGGUGAAGCCCACCGCAACCUGGCAUCCUGCUGUGUCGCCAUGUGCCCACCCACCCAACACACACCUGUGGCGACUGUCUCUCUUGGCCCAGUGAGCUGGCAGAGGCAGGAAGGGACUUGCUGACAGUCCCCUGGCUUACCAGAGGCAGGGGCAGGAUUCAAAGCCAGGUCAUCAGGCUCCAAGCCCCAGCACCCUCCCCAGCACUGAGGCGGCCCACAAGCUCCAGGUUGCAGACUCAGGGCAGGGGCUGUGACACAUGUGGGGGUGGGGAGAGGGAUGGAAACCAACAGUCCAAAGAUAGGAGAACUAAAACCGAAACACAAACCAGCCAGUCCCAGACAGAGAAAAACAGGUUUCAAAAUGUACAGCCAGGGCAUGUGCUCAUUUAUUAGGGCUGACUCUCCGUGUCCGCUUCCUGGGAAAGAAAA